CAUCUCUCAGGGUUGCACCUCGAGAGUUUCCAGUACUCUACCAAUCUUCACUAUGGGAGGGAGAGUUAAGCAGAGGCAUAACCAUUCCAUUCCUAGCUUGGCCAGUGGCUAGUGAAUGGAAGACAAUCUGCUACAAGU
RNAcentral lists this small nucleolar RNA (138 nucleotides) under Ornithorhynchus anatinus (platypus). The record is from RNAcentral. Lineage: Eukaryota; Metazoa; Chordata; Mammalia; Monotremata; Ornithorhynchidae.